CAGUAGCCGCGGUAAUACGUAGGGUGCAAGCGUUAAUCGGAAUUACUGGGCGUAAAGCGUGCGCAGGCGGUUUGUUAAGACAGAUGUGAAAUCCCCGGGCUCAACCUGGGAACUGCAUUUGUGACUGGCAAGCUAGAGUAUGGCAGAGGGGGGUGGAAUUCCGCGUGUAGCAGUGAAAUGCGUAGAUAUGCGGAGGAACACCGAUGGCGAAGGCAGCCCCCUGGGCCAAUACUGACGCUCAUGCACGAAAGCGUGGGGAGCAAACAGGAUUAGAUACCCCAGUAGUCCCUGUCUCUUAUAU
Molecule: ribosomal RNA, 301 nt
Filed under: uncultured bacterium
Lineage: Bacteria
Description: partial 16S ribosomal RNA
Rfam family: Bacterial small subunit ribosomal RNA
Source: RNAcentral